GCCCCCGUUGUCUAAUGGUUAUGACGUCAGACUUCUAAGCUUGUGGUUCUCACGGCGAGUCCUUGGUGUUGCUUGAUCUGGAGGUUGCGAGUUCGAGUCUCGCCGGGGGCU
Molecule: transfer RNA, 111 nt
Organism: Daedalea quercina L-15889
Lineage: Eukaryota; Fungi; Basidiomycota; Agaricomycetes; Polyporales; Fomitopsidaceae
Rfam family: tRNA
About the family: Transfer RNA (tRNA) molecules are approximately 80 nucleotides in length. Their secondary structure includes four short double-helical elements and three loops (D, anti-codon, and T loops).
Source: Rfam